RNAcentral lists this ribosomal RNA (497 nucleotides) under uncultured bacterium. Its description in RNAcentral is "partial 16S ribosomal RNA". It matches the Rfam family "Bacterial small subunit ribosomal RNA", at positions 28 to 507 of the family's 1533-position model. The record is from RNAcentral.
GAUGAACGCUGGCGGCGUGCCUAAUACAUGCAAGUCGAGCGAACAGACGAGGAGCUUGCUCCUCUGACGUUAGCGGCGGACGGGUGAGUAACACGUGGAUAACCUACCUAUAAGACUGGGAUAACUUCGGGAAACCGGAGCUAAUACCGGAUAAUAUAUUGAACCGCAUGGUUCAAUAGUGAAAGACGGUUUUGCUGUCACUUAUAGAUGGAUCCGCGCCGCAUUAGCUAGUUGGUAAGGUAACGGCUUACCAAGGCAACGAUGCGUAGCCGACCUGAGAGGGUGGUCGGCCACACUGGAACUGAGACACGGGCCAGACUCCUACGGGAGGCAGCAGUAGGGAAUCUUCCGCAAUGGGCGAAAGCUUGACGGGGCAACGCCGCGUGAGUGAUGAAGGUCUUCGGAUCGUAAAACUCUGUUAUUAGGGAAGAACAAAUGUGUAAGUAACUAUGCACGUCUUGACGGUACCUAAUCAGAAAGCCACGGCUAACUACGUG